Molecule: small nucleolar RNA, 122 nt
Filed under: Ochotona princeps (American pika)
Lineage: Eukaryota; Metazoa; Chordata; Mammalia; Lagomorpha; Ochotonidae
Description: Small nucleolar RNA SNORA74 (ENSOPRG00000023715.1)
Source: RNAcentral
CCCAGCAGCAGGCAGCUGCCUAGGUUACUUUGUACCCAGGCAAGUGUUACAUUGCUGGGAGAAAAUCGGUCAAUAGCUGGUGGGCUCUCUGACCCAGUUAAUACCAAAUUUGUGUUAAUUAU